RNA transcript from Glossina fuscipes, 1027 nucleotides. RefSeq lists it as uncharacterized. The record is from RefSeq and is a predicted model, not a curated record. The transcript is spliced from 4 exons. NCBI's taxonomy places the organism in Eukaryota, Metazoa, Arthropoda, Insecta, Diptera, Glossinidae.
CUCUACAGUUAACAAAUUCAAGCAACAAAAAAUCAGUUUAGUUUUAAACAAAAGUUAGACGAGAUAAAUUGUUGAGAUCUAAAAUUUAAAAAUUUUGCAAAAAAAAAUUAAUUAUGGCUAAUAUUAAAUAUAUAUUCGCUUUGACCGUCAUCGCCGUAUUAGCUGGCACAACCUUUGCAAUUCAUUGCUAUCAAUGUGAAUCAAUUUCGAAUACAAAAUGUGGUGAACACUUUGAAGCGGAUGAUGUUAUGAAAUAUGAUUGUUCUCGAGUAGCACCGCCUAGAUUUUUGCAAUCAAUCUUUCCAAUACGCAAUGCCACUGGUUGCAUGAAGAAAACUUUAGAAGCCGUUAACGGUCAUCCACAGAUAAUACGUUCCUGUUAUUUCGGUGAGAUUUCCAAUACUCAAACGGGCUGCCAAGCGGAUCCAUCGUUGCCUUUUGUCAAACAGCUGUCCUGUGAUGUUUGCGCGGAUAAUCUUUGCAAUAGUUCCAAUGCUGCGGGUCCCAUGGCAUUGGCCAUUGUAGCGUUUUUCACUCUGGCACGUUUGCUAUCUUAGAUGCUUGAAUAUCCAUUAGAUUAAGAAACUUUUCACAAAAUCUUCACAACAAUCUCUUUUUUGGUUACAAUCCAAAACAGAACCUUUAUAUGAGCGGAGCGGAGGGGAGGGAUUCCAAAAAUUGGCCCAGCCGAAUCUGUCAAUGCAAUUCGAAUGUCCAAAUAUUACCCCCAUAUAUUAUCCCAUAAAACCACUUCUCAAAAUAAAGUAUUGUACGUGGAGUCGUGGAAAGGGUGGACCGAUCCAAAACAUUUUCAAUAGCUUUCGUCCUUGCAACAUAUUUCAUAAAAAUAUUGAUUGAACACAAGAAAAUAAGGCAAUGGACCGAAACGAACCAGAAAGCAAUUCUAAACCAGCAGCUAUAAUAAAAGGUGGAUCCAUCAUAAACUCUUCUGAGUGUUGCGUACAUCUGAACAAACUUGAUAUCCCUUGGUGAUCCUGAUCUUUCUGUCAUCUUUCCGGAAAUUGAG